This 473-nucleotide ribosomal RNA is filed under the name uncultured organism. RNAcentral's name for it is "partial 16S ribosomal RNA". It matches the Rfam family "Bacterial small subunit ribosomal RNA", at positions 332 to 797 of the family's 1533-position model. The record is from RNAcentral.
UACACUCCUGCGGGAGGCAGCAGUGGGGAAUUUUGGACAAUGGGCGAAAGCCUGAUCCAGCAAUGCCGCGUGAGUGAAGAAGGCCUUCGGGUUGUAAAGCUCUUUUGUCAGGGAAGAAACGGUGAAAGCUAAUAUCUUUUGCUAAUGACGGUACCUGAAGAAUAAGCACCGGCUAACUACGUGCCAGCAGCCGCGGUAAUACGUAGGGUGCAAGCGUUAAUCGGAAUUACUGGGCGUAAAGCGUGCGCAGGCGGUUUUGUAAGUCUGAUGUGAAAUCCCCGGGCUCAACCUGGGAAUUGCAUUGGAGACUGCAAGGCUAGAAUCUGGCAGAGGGGGGUAGAAUUCCACGUGUAGCAGUGAAAUGCGUAGAUAUGUGGAGGAACACCGAUGGCGAAGGCAGCCCCCUGGGUCAAGAUUGACGCUCAUGCACGAAAGCGUGGGGAGCAAACAGGAUUAGAAACCUUGUAGUCCCA